GAUGCUGGGGACACUGAGAGACCCGGGGACACUGGGAGACAUGGGGACACUGGAAGAAAUGGGGACACUGAGACACUAGGGACACAGACACUGGGAGACAUGGGGACACUGAAACAUUUGGGGACACUAAGACACUAGGGACACAGACAUGGGAACACAGACACUGGGAGACUAGGGGACACUGGGAGACUAUGGGACACUGGCUGGGAGACAGACACUUGGGGACACUGGGAG
Molecule: non-coding RNA, 234 nt
Organism: Pelobates cultripes (western spadefoot toad)
Lineage: Eukaryota; Metazoa; Chordata; Amphibia; Anura; Pelobatidae
Source: the annotation of a GenBank genome assembly